Molecule: long non-coding RNA, 929 nt
Organism: Nylanderia fulva
Lineage: Eukaryota; Metazoa; Arthropoda; Insecta; Hymenoptera; Formicidae
Source: RefSeq, a predicted model, not a curated record
UUUGCGCGGUCCUCGCCGGUCCAUGAAAAUACCAGUAUAUAUAUGUUAAUUAGUGUGAGUAUACAUUAAUUAGUGCCUUACGUUGAUUAAUUAUCAUAUAAAUCUGAUCGCGCCGCGUGUCCCGACAUCGUAUUCGCAUCGUGCACGCGCGAGAUUAAUAACCUUGUCGGCCGCGAAUCUCGCUCAAUUUCGCUUCGUCCCACGCAUACUUCGCGUGACGUCACAGCUCCGACUCGAGCGGCCGAAAAUUCGCGCGCGCGAGUUCACGAAGGCGGAUCACGAGAAUUAUCGGCUCUGUUUGCGACGCAAAUUUCCGGAGUUUUUCGACAUUGUCGAUCGUAUUCUAAGUGGACGAGCGCGCAUUUCCGGUCGUACUUCCGCGUCAUCGUGUCGACGUAUCCUUUCACGAGAAAAAAAGCUCGUAAUUAUUUUCAUUAAAAUCGCAGGUCGACAAAAAGAUCGCGCCGCCAUAUUGUUAUUGUUAUUUUUUAAUAUCGUACGUUGCUCUUUUUUCCUCGUGAAUCGUCGAGUCGGAAAUAUUUGGAUUAUAUUUGUAUUAUCGAAAUACGCGACGAAUCGCGAGUAUGCUAUACACGGUGUUCGGGAAUAUCGGCGACUUCCAAGUGCGUCGUUUUAUUCGCGAAUAAGCUUUCGCGUUUCUCGUGUUUUACCGAAACUCGUCGAAGUUUAUGAUAAUUAAAACACGGGCGUCGUUAAUGAAAAAAAGUAAAGCGAGUGCAAGUGUGUUUCGAAGCUUCUACGAGAGGAGGAGGAGGCUCAGGAUGGCAUCGGGUAACGUCAAACCAAAUAUAUGUUUACAACUUCACUGCUGCGAAUCGUAUCGGUCGACGCGGGAAGAAACGGGCGCGGCGCGUGGUCGCGCGUUCCUGAACGAAGAUCAACAAGUAGCAUGGCCACGUGGUGGGGGA